UGGUUCUGGCAUCGAUGAAGAACGCAGCGAAAUGCGAUAAGUAAUGUGAAUUGCAGAAUUCAGUGAAUCAUCGAAUCUUUGAACGCACAUUGCGCCCUUUGGUAUUCCGAAGGGCAUGCCUGUUCGAGCGUCGUCCCCCUCACGAGCCCCGCUCGGUCUUGGGUGCGCGCCCCGCCGGUAACCGGCGGGGCGCCUCCCGAAAAGCAGCGGAGGCGUCGACCGGCCCGGAGCGCAUUGACUUUCUUUCGCUCGCGCGGUCGGCUGGCGCCCGCCGAAACCGUGCGACGCGUCCUCCGGGGCGCGCCCACCUUUGACAUUUGACCUCGGAUCAGGUAGGGAUACCCGCUGA
This 349-nucleotide unclassified non-coding RNA is filed under the name uncultured fungus. Its description in RNAcentral is "partial contains 5.8S ribosomal RNA and internal transcribed spacer 2". The stretch from base 1 to 133 matches the Rfam family "5.8S ribosomal RNA", at positions 22 to 154 of the family's 154-position model. Lineage: Eukaryota; Fungi. The record is from RNAcentral.